Molecule: long non-coding RNA, 211 nt
Filed under: Prunus persica (peach)
Lineage: Eukaryota; Viridiplantae; Streptophyta; Magnoliopsida; Rosales; Rosaceae
Description: long non-coding RNA (PPER_LNC001649)
Source: RNAcentral
UAAUUUUAGGAAUCAAAAGAGAUAAAAAUAAAAAUAAAAGUUAAAAAAGCGAGGAUCUUGAAGCGGAUAUUUUCCUUUGAGAAUAUUUUCACAAACAAUAAUUAUGAUGUUUAAUGGUACGCUGACCACCGAUCAUUAUGUGAUUGGCAUGUUGUGAACUUGUGAUUAUGUAUAAGACAGACUAUGUCCUUUUCAGAAUAACGAGAGAGAG